UACGAAGGGGGCGAGCGUUGUUCGGAAUUACUGGGCGUAAAGGGCGCGCAGGCGGCUCAGACAGUCAGAUGUGAAAGCCCCGGGCUUAACCUGGGAACUGCAUUUGAUACUACUGAGCUUGAGUACGGGAGAGGAUAGUGGAAUUCCCAGUGUAGAGGUGAAAUUCGUAGAUAUUGGGAAGAACACCGGUGGCGAAGGCGGCUAUCUGGACCGUAACUGACGCUGAGGCGCGAAAGCGUGGGGAGCAAACGGG
RNAcentral lists this ribosomal RNA (253 nucleotides) under uncultured bacterium. RNAcentral describes it as "partial 16S ribosomal RNA". It matches the Rfam family "Bacterial small subunit ribosomal RNA", at positions 524 to 776 of the family's 1533-position model. The record is from RNAcentral.